UGUAACAAGACUUCCAUUUCAACAGAUGGCUUCCUCGCACUUGAAAUACGUGGGGUUCAUUAUGAGCUGAGUUUGGCUCAGUGAAAAAAAAGGCUAAGACCAAUGUUUCUUAAACUAAGGGUUGGGACCCAAAGUUGGCGCUGGACGCUGCCGGUCCUCCUCUAGUUUGGAGAGCUCAUUCUGUGAUGCUGGAUUCCCCAAAGGGGUUUCUGCUGUGGUGAUGGUCUUGGCCUGGUCCAGCUGAGUCUGUAGCUGGCCCACCUGAAGGUGCCAGCACCAGAGAAAAUAAAAAAUACAUUUUGGUAAAAGGCUCCUCCUGCAGCAGGUCGAUCCUCUGUCUCUUCCCCUUCAGACUGGCCAAACAGCGCUGGAGCUCCGCCCUCAGCUCCCUCACAGCCCAAUCAUCCUUUUCCCCGGACCGCUGGGGGCUGGCCUCAGACACCUCCACCAGUGGAGUACUGCCAAAUUAAACAAAAUAUGGAGAGUCCAGUUCUGGGGAGGAGCAGUCCCGGCUGUCCUCCAGCAUGUCAUCAGGGAGGUCUGUCAGCAGCUUGUGGAGCUAAUGGAGUAGAAAUGGAAAAACACACACCAGCACACAGCCGUGACUCACCACCCUCUCGUUACCUAGUUAAUAACUAACCCUGGACGAAAGCAGAAACCACACAGGGAUCGGGGUGAGAAGACACUGGAGAUAAGAACGAGAAGAAAAAAACGCAGAGACAUCU
This is a long non-coding RNA of Esox lucius (northern pike), 725 nucleotides long. RefSeq lists it as uncharacterized. Lineage: Eukaryota; Metazoa; Chordata; Actinopteri; Esociformes; Esocidae. The transcript is spliced from 5 exons. The record is from RefSeq and is a predicted model, not a curated record.